AUACGUAGGGGGCGAGCGUUGUCCGGAAUGAUUGGGCGUAAAGGGCGCGUAGGCGGCCCGGUAAGUCUGGAGUGAAAGUCCUGUUUUUAAGAUGGGAAUUGCUUUGGAUACUGUCUGGCUUGAGUGCAGGAGAGGUAAGUGGAAUUCCCAGUGUAGCGGUGAAAUGCGUAGAGAUUGGGAGGAACACCAGUGGCGAAGGCGACGUACUGGACUGUAACUGACGCUGAGGCGCGAAAGUGUGGGGAGCAAACAGGAUUAGAUACCCUGGUAGUCCACACUGUAAACGAUGAAUGCUAGGUGUAGGGGGUAUCGACCCCUUCUGUGCCGCAGUCAACACAAUAAGCAUUCCGCCUGGGGAGUACGGCCGCAAGGUUGAAACUCAAAUGAAUUGACGGGG
RNAcentral lists this ribosomal RNA (397 nucleotides) under uncultured bacterium. RNAcentral describes it as "partial 16S ribosomal RNA". It matches the Rfam family "Bacterial small subunit ribosomal RNA", at positions 523 to 918 of the family's 1533-position model. The record is from RNAcentral.